RNAcentral lists this transfer RNA (91 nucleotides) under Streptomyces griseocarneus. RNAcentral describes it as "tRNA-Gly". The record is from RNAcentral. Lineage: Bacteria; Bacillati; Actinomycetota; Actinomycetes; Kitasatosporales; Streptomycetaceae.
UCCGCCGUCGCCAGGGCGACGGUGGCGGCCGCCCAGGCCGCCCUCGCGGCGGAGCACGCCGCCGUGUACGGCUUCGGCGUCGUCGGCGGUC